UCCUACGGGAGGCAGCAGUGGGGAAUUUUGGACAAUGGGCGAAAGCCUGAUCCAGCAAUGCCGCGUGUGUGAAGAAGGCCUUCGGGUUGUAAAGCACUUUUGUCCGGAAAGAAAUCCUUGGCUUUAAUACAGUCGGGGGAUGACGGUACCGGAAGAAUAAGCACCGGCUAACUACGUGCCAGCAGCCGCGGUAAUACGUAGGGUGCGAGCGUUAAUCGGAAUUACUGGGCGUAAAGCGUGCGCAGGCGGUUUGCUAAGACCGAUGUGAAAUCCCCGGGCUCAACCUGGGAACUGCAUUGGUGACUGGCAGGCUAGAGUAUGGCAGAGGGGGGUAGAAUUCCACGUGUAGCAGUGAAAUGCGUAGAGAUGUGGAGGAAUACCGAUGGCGAAGGCAGCCCCCUGGGCCAAUACUGACGCUCAUGCACG
Molecule: ribosomal RNA, 426 nt
Filed under: uncultured Burkholderia sp.
Lineage: Bacteria; Pseudomonadati; Pseudomonadota; Betaproteobacteria; Burkholderiales; Burkholderiaceae
Description: bacterial SSU rRNA
Rfam family: Bacterial small subunit ribosomal RNA
Source: RNAcentral